This 1284-nucleotide long non-coding RNA is filed under the name Triticum aestivum (bread wheat). RNAcentral describes it as "long non-coding RNA (TAES_LNC000984)". The record is from RNAcentral. Lineage: Eukaryota; Viridiplantae; Streptophyta; Magnoliopsida; Poales; Poaceae.
GAUGGAUGGAUUCCGGUGACUAACUAAAAUUAGGACGGCCGGACGGCCGGAGAUAGAUAGACACCAACAAUGUAUCUAAGUAGAUUUAUUUUUCACACUUGUGCAGGUGAGCGAAUGAAGCAAUAGUUGGUAACUUGGUAUCCACAACCUGACAUAAUUUCCGCCGCAAACAAAAAAUUCAAACAGAAUUAUGUAUAUACUCACCGCAUGCUUAUAGUGUGUUGCAUAAAAAGAAUGACCUGCAUUUGUCCUUCAUGGAAUUGAAUGUAAUAAUAAUAAUAAUCAUGAAAAAAAUUCCAAACAUGAAAAAAUAAGGGAUUUCAUUUCCGGAAAGAGUACCAAGUAUACUAGGGCAUCUCAAUUAGCAACACACAAGCCAACCCCUAAUUACAAUUUAAUGAUACACAAACCUCCACAUCUCUAUUUGUUUGCCUUCUUCCAUUUCGGCACGGCACAUAUAUAUUUAUAUAAGUCUGGUGGUCAAAUGUACAAUAUGCUGCAGACUGCCACAAAACCUAUCAAGCCUUCCUUGCUCACUUCCUGUUAUGUCUGCACCAAUGUUGAAAACACAAACACGUCAGUCGAUUUUUUUUUUCUUUUCCGAUCAAUUGCACUUCAUCACCUGGUAAACAAUUUGAAUGCAUCACUAGCUGAAUAUCCAUGCGACGAAAAGAAACAAGGACUACAUGAAUGAUGCUACUCACUGUGCCAAGCUUAAACGACAAAGAUAUACUACUACAAAUAUUGGAUAAAUCUUCCCAGUUUUCACCAUCACUGAAAUAAGAUGCCUAUUUUGGAAUCUCCCAGCUUGAUAAACCGAAAUCAGUUUAGGACAGAGGAAAUAAUGCAUGUGAAUCAACGAAACCACAAUAUGAUAUAUCAUCCAUGGACUAAGACAGUUAACCUAUAUAGCAUUAUAGCAUACUUCCAUAUCGAUGUUGGGAAGACUAGAGCCAUCUGUAUCUUCUAGGUAGAAGAGAAGCAAAACUAAACCGAAAAAUGAGUCAUGUGCACAUUUCUUCCUUCUUCAACAAGUAGCUAUCUAUAUGGUCUGCAUGGUAUAUUUAUCUAAAAACAAUCCAAUUUGAACCUAAAUAUCCCCGUUAUUCCCCAAAACUGCAAAUUUGCAUCCUUAGGAGAGGAGAGCUGUACUCACCGUCAGAUGUCCUUCAGGCACACCCUCAUUUCCAGCACUUGAAACUUCUGUAGUUUGUACAUCAGGUUAAACUAUGAAAACAUUCAUGUUGGUUCUUCUUUACAUGGGCCACAAGUACAUCAUGACAG